UAGCAACAUACACCUAAAAAAUAAGGUUUCCUAUGAGUCGAAAGAUAAGCUGAGCUGAAGAAAGCUUCUACCAACUAGAUGCUACCAUCAGGGAGUAAUUUUUUUAGUUGUAAUUGUUCUUAGGUCCAGGUCUUCAGCAUUUUAAAGAAAUACAGAAUAAUAUAACAUUUGAUUUAUAUAUUACUUGCAUUUUAUCAUUUAGAAAUUUUAUAAUUUUAUACCUUUGUGCAGGUUAAUAAAUACAGCUUU
RNAcentral lists this long non-coding RNA (249 nucleotides) under Bos taurus (domestic cattle). Its description in RNAcentral is "long non-coding RNA NONBTAT019558". The record is from RNAcentral. Lineage: Eukaryota; Metazoa; Chordata; Mammalia; Artiodactyla; Bovidae.